Molecule: ribosomal RNA, 448 nt
Filed under: Araneus cf. mitificus MG-2015
Lineage: Eukaryota; Metazoa; Arthropoda; Arachnida; Araneae; Araneidae
Description: partial 16S ribosomal RNA
Rfam family: Bacterial large subunit ribosomal RNA
Source: RNAcentral
UUUUUAUUGAAAUAUAAUCAUAAAUAAUACCUGCUCAAUGAAACUAAAUAGCCGCAGAAAAUUAACUGUGCUAAGGUAGCAUAAUCAUUAGCCCCUUAAUUAGGGGCUUGUAUGAAUGGUAAAACAUCCCAAUAACUUUAUUAUUUAACUAUUUUAAAUUUAAACUAAAAAUAAAAAUGUUUUUAUAAAAAAAAAAGACGACAAGACCCUUUUGAACUUUACUUUAGUUUAGCUGGGGCAGCUAAAUAAUAAUUAUUUUAUUUAAAUAUUUUAAAUAAAUGACCUUUUAUUAAUUAAGUAUAUGAGCAAGUUACCAUAGGGAUAACAGCAUAAUUUCUUUUUAAAGCUCUUAUUAAAAAAGAAGAUUAUGACCUCGAUGUUGAAUUAAUAUUUCUUUUAUUAAUGCAAUAAUUUAAAAAGUAGGUCUGUUCGACCUUUAAAAUAUUAC